Pelobates cultripes (western spadefoot toad) is the source of this 1073-nucleotide non-coding RNA. The record is from the annotation of a GenBank genome assembly. NCBI's taxonomy places the organism in Eukaryota, Metazoa, Chordata, Amphibia, Anura, Pelobatidae.
CUGCUUAAUCUGUGUCUAACUGGGCACUCUGUCCCACUGCUUAAUCUGUGUCUAACUGGGCACUCUGUCCCACUGCUUAAUCUGUGUCUAACUGCGCACUCUGUCUCACUACCUAAUCUGUCUAACUGCGUACUCUGUCUCACUACUUAAUCUGUGUCUAACUGCGCACUCUGUCUCACUACCUAAUCUGUCUAACUGCGCACUCUGUCUCGCUAUGUAAUCUGUGUCUAACUGCGCACUCUCGCUACCUAAUCUGUGUCUAAUGCCUCGUUUCCACUGAGCGGUAUGGUUCGGGCCGGUGUGGUCUGGUACGCUAUUUGAAAUGUUUCCAUUAUGAAAGGGGCCCAUACAACCGAACCAAACUGCACCAUUCCUGGGCCCCCUUCAGAUGUAGGUCCAUAGGAAAUAGUAUGGUAUGGUUAGGGCGAAGCUAAUGGCGUCACACUAUACAAUCCAUUGAUUGGCGGAUAGGAAAACGUCAAUGCUCAUGACAAAUGACAAGCCAGGCAUUUGGUCUAAACCCCACAUGCCCCCUGGCAGUCUGAUUUGCAGUGGAAACACUCGCCUGAAUAGGAUAGACCAUUCUGACCUUUCCAAACUGUUACCGACCUGAACCAUACCACUCAGUGGAAAUGAGGCAUUACUGCGCACUCUGUCUCACUACCUAAUCUGUGUAUAACUGCGCACUCUGUCUCACUGCUUAAUCUGCACACUCACACAGAUUAAGCAGUGGGGCAGACAGACUGUGCAGUUAGAAAGUAGUGAGAUAGACAGCACAGUUAGACACAGAUUAAGCAGUGGGACAGAGUGGGCAGUUAGACACAGAUUAAGCAGUGGGACAUAGUGGGCAAUUAGACACAGAUUAAGCAGUGGGACAGAGUGGGCAGUUAGACACAGAUUAAGCAGUGGGACAUAGUGGGCAAUUAGACACAGAUUAAGCAGUGGGACAGAGUGGGCAGUUAGACACAGAUUAAGCAGUGGGACAGAGUGGGCAGUUAGACACAGAUCAAGCAGUGGGACAGAGUGGGCCGUUAGACACAGAUUAAGCAGUGGGACAGAGUGCCCAGUUAGAC